RNAcentral lists this long non-coding RNA (1633 nucleotides) under Marmota monax (woodchuck). The record is from RNAcentral. Lineage: Eukaryota; Metazoa; Chordata; Mammalia; Rodentia; Sciuridae.
AUUGCUUAGAGCUUUGCUAAAUUGGUAAGGUGGGGCUUGAACUUGUGAUCCUUCUGCCUCAGCCUCCUGAAUCACUGGGAUUACAGGGGUUUAUCACCAUGAACAGCUACUUUUGGGUUUUCUAUGUGUCAUCUGCGAAGUGACAUUUUGAUUUUUUUUUUUUUCCUAAAUUGGAUGCACUUUAUCUUUGUCUUCCCUAAGGACUCUGGCUAGGACUUCCUGCAGUGAAACUGGGCAUCCUUGACCUGUUUCAGAGUUUAGGCAAUUUUCAGCUUUUCACCAUUCAGUAUAAUGUUAGCUAUCAGCUUAUUUUAAAUGGUUUUUAUUAUGUUGAGAUAUGUACUUUCUGCCUAAUUUGUUCAGCAUUUUUUGUGAUGAAGGAACGUGCAGUCGGAUUCAAUGUGCUGGUGUUUUGUGGAGGAUCUUUACAUUUGGGUUCUUAAGGACACCAGCCUGUAGAUUUUUUGUUUUCUUCAUUGUGUCCUUCUCCUUCUUUUGUUUAGGAAUCGAGAUAAAGUUGGCCUCACAAAAUGUCUUUGGGAGGAUUCUAUUUUAUUUUUUGCAGUAACUUAGGAGACUUGGUAGAGUCCCCACGUAUUUGGUGGAGCCCAGCAGUGCGGCCCCUCUGGUCCUGGACUGUUCCUUGAGUUCAGGCUUUUGAUUGUUGAUUGGAUCUUGUUUGGCGUUGUUUUCCCGCAGCCGGGGACUGAACUCAGGGCCUCGCUCACAUCAGGCUAAUGCAUUACCACUGAGCUGCAUCCCCGCCCCAUCAAUCUCAUUACUUGCUUUUGCUCUUUCUGAGUUCUUCCUGGUUCUUCCUGAUUCAUUCUGGGCAAGGUGUUGUGUCUAGGAAUCUGUCUGUGUUUUCUAGGUCAUCGGGUUUGUAGUUUUUUAUAACAUCUCUAAUGUCCUGUGCUUCUGUGGUGUCAAUCGUCAUGUUUCCCUUUUCAUCUCUGGUUUCAUUGGCGUUUUCUCCUAUUCUUGGUUUAAACCGACUAAAGGUGUGUCUUUUCUGUCAGUCCUUGGUGAAGAACCGUCUCUUUGUUUCAGUGAGUUUUUGUAUUCUUCAGUUUUUCCACUUCCUCGAGGUGCAGUAAUAGGUGUUCAUCUGAGUUCUCCCUCCAUUUUUGAUUUGGGCUUUCACGGUAUAAACAUUCCACUUGGUAUUGUUUUUGCUGUGCCCUGGAGGUUUGCUAUGUAGUGUCUCCAUUUUUGUUUGUUUCAAAAGAACUUUUAAUUUCCUUCUGAGGCAGGAAAAAGAGUUCAAGUGGACAGGCAGGAAACUUGGGCUCCUUCAAGUUAGGCUUCUGUCCAGCAGCUGAGACACAGACACCAGCCGGCCUCAUCAAGGUCAGACUGCUCCUGUAAUGGGAGAAACUGACAGUGAGACUUCUGUGGUCUGGUACCCUGGACCCCAUCAAAAGCGGGGCACAGUAACCUCACUGGACCAAAGAACUUGUGGACACUGAGUGCCUUACCCAGGGUUGGGCUGGGGGUUGGCUUCCUUAACCCUGUAGAUCCAUGGAAGCCCCCAGACAGCAGCCACUCUGGGGGAUCCCUCCGCCUUAGGGAGCUCUGCUUGGUUGCUUUCUAUUGCUCUAAUAAAUCCUGUUACUUUGUGCACACCAUUGUG